AAAAUUAGCCUGGCGUGGUGGCGCACGCCUGUAAUCCCAGCUACUAGGGGGGCUGAGGCAGGAGAAUUGCUUGAACUCGGGAGGCAGAGGUUGCAGUAAGCUGAGAUCCCGUCACUGUAAUCCAGCCUGGGCCACAGAGAGAGGCUCCGUCCGAAAAAAAAAAAAAAAAAAAAGACGAAAAUGGCGAAGUAUGAUCUCCCAUACACUCCACCAGAGAAGGGAAGAAAGCCUCAGAUGGGCAUGCAUAUAACUCCCUAAACACACUGCGCAUGUUCAAUUCCAAAGGAUACAGAAAGCACUGCGCAUGUGGAAGCCCCACGCUAAGGGAGGAAUUACAGGAAAGAGGCAAGCUUAUAAAAAAAAAAGUCCUAGGAUCCGCCGACGUGGUGGCUCAACGCCUGUAAUCCCAGCACUCUGGGAGGCUUAGGCAGGCGGAUCACGAGGUCAGGAGUUCAAACCAGCCUGGCCAACAUGAUGAAACCCCGUCUCUACUAAAAAUACAAAAAUUAACUGUGUGGUGGCGCGUGACUGUAAUCCCAGCUACUGGGGAGGCUGAGGCAGGAGAAUUGCUUGAACCCGAGAGCCGGAGGUUGCAGGGAGCCGA
Molecule: long non-coding RNA, 604 nt
Filed under: Homo sapiens (human)
Lineage: Eukaryota; Metazoa; Chordata; Mammalia; Primates; Hominidae
Description: HSALNT0227887
Source: RNAcentral